ACUUCUUUAUCACCGAGUGCUUGCACUCACCGAUAAAGAGUUGAGUGGCGAACGGGUGAGUAACACUUGGGCAACCUGCCCAAAAGAGGGGGAUAACACUUGGAAACAGGUGCUAAUACCGCAUAACCAUAGUUACCGCAUGGUAACUAUGUAAAAGGUGGCUAUGCUACCGCUUUUGGAUGGGCCCUCGACGCAUUAGCUAGUUGGUGGGGUAAAGGCUUACCAAGGCAAUGAUGCGUAGCCGAACUGAGAGGUUGAUCGGCCACAUUGGGACUGAGACACGGCCCAAACUCCUACGGGAGGCAGCAGUAGGGAAUCUUCCACAAUGGGCGAAAGCCUGAUGGAGCAACGCCGCGUGGGUGAAGAAGGUCUUCGGAUCGUAAAACCCUGUUGUUAGAGAAGAAAGUGCGUGAGAGUAACUGUUCACGUUUCGACGGUAUCUAACCAGAAAGCCACGGCUAACUACGUGCCAGCAGCCGCGGUAAUACGUAGGUGGCAAGCGUUAUCCGGAUUUAUUGGGCGUAAAGAGAACGCAGGCGGUCUUUUAAGUCUGAUGUGAAAGCCUUCGGCUUAACCGGAGUAGUGCAUUGGAAACUGGGAGACUUGAGUGCAGAAGAGGAGAGUGGAACUCCAUGUGUAGCGGUGAAAUGCGUAGAUAUAUGGAAGAACACCAGUGGCGAAAGCGGCUCUCUGGUCUGUAACUGACGCUGAGGUUCGAAAGCGUGGGUAGCAAACAGGAUUAGAUACCCUGGUAGUCCA
This 759-nucleotide ribosomal RNA is filed under the name uncultured bacterium. RNAcentral's name for it is "bacterial SSU rRNA". It matches the Rfam family "Bacterial small subunit ribosomal RNA", at positions 69 to 797 of the family's 1533-position model. The record is from RNAcentral.